Molecule: long non-coding RNA, 310 nt
Organism: Chinchilla lanigera (long-tailed chinchilla)
Lineage: Eukaryota; Metazoa; Chordata; Mammalia; Rodentia; Chinchillidae
Exons: 3
Source: RefSeq, a predicted model, not a curated record
AGAAGACAGCACUACUCGUUCAUUCUUUCCUUUGUUCACCCAUUAUUCAUUCGUCACUUCCCGCAUCACUUAAGUACCAAGUGUUAUACAAGCUGACUUAGACAGCCACCAAGGACUGAAGAAAACAGAUGGAGUAUUCCAGGGGGCCGAAGAGAGUCAGAGGAAAUCGAAACACAGGAAGUUGUCAGUGCUAGGGAUUAACCCAGGAUCUCCACUAUGCUAGCUCCUGAAAAAUGGACCCUCAUCUAACUAAAAAGGAGAACAAUCAAGAUGUCACCAGGACAUUAUCCCAAAAUCCCAGCCUCCAGAG